RNAcentral lists this non-coding RNA (210 nucleotides) under unclassified sequences. RNAcentral describes it as "raiA RNA". It matches the Rfam family "raiA RNA". The record is from Rfam by way of RNAcentral.
UUGGAUCAGGUCUGUGGUUGCAAGUCGACGCCAGUCGCAGGCGAAACGAUCCACGUAAGCAGGGCAAAGUCCCUGUGAGCAUGGUGCGGCUUAGAAGUAAGUCCGGCCAGCCUUGCGCUGAGAGGGUCAGUAGUGGGAGGGCAAACGCCCCAUGAGCGAACGCCCCGGCCGGCGAGUGUGGGGGCAAAGACCAGGUCAGCUGAAUGCCAA